RNAcentral lists this small nuclear RNA (22 nucleotides) under Arabidopsis thaliana (thale cress). Its description in RNAcentral is "snRNA_09034". Lineage: Eukaryota; Viridiplantae; Streptophyta; Magnoliopsida; Brassicales; Brassicaceae. The record is from RNAcentral.
AUCAUGUUGAUCUCAUAGUAUU